UACAGAGGGUGCGAGCGUUAAUCGGAAUUACUGGGCGUAAAGGGUGCGUAGGUGGUUUUAUAAGUCAGAUGCGAAAACCCUGGGCUUAACCUAGGAAUGGCAUUUGAUACUGUGGAACUAGAGUUUGGAAGAGGAAAGUGGAAUUUCCGGUGUAGCGGUGAAAUGCGUAGAUAUCGGAAGGAACAUCAGUGGCGAAGGCGACUUUCUGGUCCGACACUGACACUGAGGCACGAAAGCGUGGGGAGCAAACAGG
RNAcentral lists this ribosomal RNA (253 nucleotides) under uncultured bacterium. Its description in RNAcentral is "partial 16S ribosomal RNA". It matches the Rfam family "Bacterial small subunit ribosomal RNA", at positions 524 to 776 of the family's 1533-position model. The record is from RNAcentral.